CUCCAAUCAGGUACCAACAACGUUGCUGUCAACUAUCAGGCUCCAAUCAGGUACCAACAACGUUGCUGUCAACUAUCAGGCUCCAAUCAGGUACCAACAAUGUUGCUGUCAACUAUCAGGCUCCAAUCAGGUACCAACAAUGUUGCUGUCAACUAUCAGGCUCCAAUCAGGUACCAACAAUGUUGCUGUCAACUAUCAGGCUCCAAUCAGGUACCAACAAUGUUGCUGUCAACUAUCAGGCUCCAAUCAGGUACCAACAAUGUUGCUGUCAACUAUCAGGCUCCAAUCAGGUACCAACAAUGUUGCUGUCAACUAUCAGGCUCCAAUCAGGUACCAACAAUGUUGCUGUCAACUAUCAGGCUCCAAUCAGGUACCAACAAUGUUGCUGUCAACUAUCAGGCUCCAAUCAGGUACCAACAAUGUUGCUGUCAACUAUCAGGCUCCAAU
Molecule: long non-coding RNA, 447 nt
Organism: Haliotis rubra (blacklip abalone)
Lineage: Eukaryota; Metazoa; Mollusca; Gastropoda; Lepetellida; Haliotidae
Exons: 3
Source: RefSeq, a predicted model, not a curated record